UGGUGCAUGGCCGUCGUCAGUUCGUACUGUAAAGCGUUCUGUUAAGUCAGAUAACGAACGAGACCNUCAUCUCUAUUUGCUACCUGGUUCUCCGGAAUCAGCGCACUAUAGGGAGACCGCUGGUGUGAAACCAGAGGAAGGGGAGGGCAACGACAGGUCAGUAUGCCCCGAAUGUCUUGGGCUACACGCGCGCUACAAAGGGCAGGACAAUGGGAUGCUAGGCCGAGAGGCAUUCAAGCUAACCCGAAACCUGUUCAUAGUUCGGAUUGAGGGCUGUAACUCGCCCUCAUGAAGCUGGAUUCCGUAGUAAUCGUGUUUCAAUAUAGCACGGUGAAUAUGCCCCUGCUCCUUGCACACACCGCCCGUCAAACCAUCUUAGUUGGGGGUGGGUGAGGCUGCGCUUUAUGGCGUAUUCGAGCCUGCCUUCGACAAGGAGGGUUAAGUCGUAACAAGGUAGCC
Molecule: ribosomal RNA, 459 nt
Filed under: uncultured archaeon
Lineage: Archaea
Description: bacterial SSU rRNA
Rfam family: Archaeal small subunit ribosomal RNA
Source: RNAcentral